AUCGUCAAGUCAGCCCGCGCAAACGGGACAGCAGGACCCACCGAGGACCACACCGAUGACUUCCUGGGGUGCCUCAACAUACCUGUCCGGGGGAUACGGCCAUGAGCCAGCGCGGGCGAUCCGGCUUCCUGUCCCACCUGCUGCUGCUCAGCCAUCUGCUGCGGUUGGAGCACUCAGCAGAGGAGCCAACUCCAGCAGCUGGCGAGGAGAGCUCAGCACACCAGCCGCCACCAUCCUCUGCCUGCACGGAGCCCAGAGCAACCUGUCACCCUUGCAGCUGGCCGUGCUCACUGGCAGGUCAGCAGCCGCCACCAUCAAACCUGCACGCUGGACUACAGCUACCUGCUGGGGCUGCUGGAGGACAUGCAGGCACACUGGGAAGAGGCUCCUUCACUGCCCCAGGAGCAGAGGAGAGCCUGGCUGAUAGCCUUUCCGCCUUCUCUGAGUUCGGGCUGCAGCUGCUGCGCCAGCUCCGAGACUACUUCCCUGCCACCAACAGCACCGCUGUCCACCGCCUGGAGCUGCUGCUGAAUGUCUGGGCAAGCUGCAGCUCUUCCAACCCUCCUUUGAGAUCUGCCCCUUCGAGUCGGAGCUGAACAUGGACAUUGCUGCGGCCCUGAAGGAGGCAACCGUGAGUGGUACGACAGGAUCCUGAAUGACAAGAGUCCCCGAGAGCAGCAGGACCACAGCGCCUGCCUGGGCUGGUUGUGCUGGCUGACGCCGUCUAUGAUGACCUUCAGUUCUGCUACAGUGUGUACGCCAGCCUCUUCCACAGGUGGGCCUGG
Molecule: long non-coding RNA, 785 nt
Filed under: Homo sapiens (human)
Lineage: Eukaryota; Metazoa; Chordata; Mammalia; Primates; Hominidae
Description: long non-coding RNA NONHSAT051945.2
Source: RNAcentral